UCUUGCUUAAUAACAUUGUAAUAUUAGCAAAAUAUUUCAUUCAUAAAUGUAGAUUCUUUAAAUCCCCCCCACUACUUAUUGUAUUCAAAAAUGACUUAAAAUGUUUUUCCAAAGCCCUUAAUAAGAUGAAAGGUCAGAGUGCUAUGAAGCUGCUUUACUUAUUGACGUCAUUUAAUUUAUUGUGAUACUGCCCCUAAUAUGUAUCUUUGUUUUAUUCAUUUAUUUAUUUUUCUUUUACUUGUUAUUUAAAUUCAUUUAAAUUAUUAUUUCAGAUUUCUAUUUAUUUUUUCAAAUUUUUCUUGUGUUGAGCCUGUUAUACUUAUUUAAAUUGUGAAUAUAUAUUUGCCUUUGUUGUUGAUAUACUUUUCUAUUCAAUAAAAAAAAAAAAAAAAAAAAAAAGGACGGAGCCUUAUUUAAAAAAAAUAAUAAUAAUAAGGACGGAGCCUUAUUUAUUUUUAUUUUAUAUAUGUAUAAUGUCCCCCUUUGUAUUUCUUAUUAUUUAAAAAAAAUAUUAAAAAUAAUUUUAAAAGGACGCAGCUGUGCGUUUGAGAAACGACCGGAAACGACUUAUAUGUCGCGAGGCCAUCACGUGACCACAAUAUUUACCAGAAGACCGUUAUUUGCUCGAGUACCCUCAACUUUUUUGUCGCAAAUAACAUUAUUAAUAACCUGUAAAUAAUAAAUUUUGUACACAUUACGUUCCUCUUCACUUUGUAAUAGUAUGUUUUUUGGUUUAAUAGUCGGCUUUAAGUUAGUUUUCCUGUCAGUUUGAUCGUCAAAAUCUUGAAAGUUAUCUGCAGCCACACAUCCACUGUAUACCAAGUUAUGAUGAACAAUUAUGAAAAUGCAAAAGGAUUGAUAGAUCAGUAAACAAGCAACAAAAAGCUUUACAAAAAAUGUAGAAUUUGUAGGAGCGCAUGGACAUCUGAGUAACAAAGUCAUAUUAUGCAGAUGGGUGCUCAUGGUGGCCUCCAAAUAAAUACAUGGACAGGCUGCUAAAGAGGGUCAGGAUGAUGGAGAUGCAAGAGCCAAAGACAGCACAGACCAAACACCAGGCCAGAAUUCUGCAUGAGUCAGAUUGAGUAAUUUUCACUCUAGAGACCCUUGGGUGACCACCAAGGACGAAUGCAAACUCCAGUGAGUGUCUCUAAGGUAGAUCCUAAUGCAGAUGGAUGGAAUGUUGAUCCGCCUAACAUGCAAGCUACAGAGGGCAUCCUUUAUUCAGUCCCUAAUGCAGAUGGUUGGAGUGUUGAUCUACCUAACAUGAGGGGUAAAAGAGUGUUUGUUAGCAUAAUGAGAAAGAAAACAGAAACACAUUAUUAGUGGCAUUUAAAAACAUAACACUUGUUUAUACUACAUUUUAUGUUCAAUCCAUAGAGCACUCGUUUUGAGUCCUGAGACCCUGGGGUGACCACCGUGAACAAAUACAGAAGCACUCAAAUUGAGUCCUGAGACCCUGGGGUGACCACCGUGAACAAAUACAGACUGCAAUAGCAGUCUUGACAGUACUAGGAUGAAUGCAAAUAAAGACUAACCACCUGACAUCAGCUAUCCAGUCUCUUGUGGGAAGCAGGUGCUUGUUACCCCAAAUACGGAUGAAGAGUGACGAAG
Paramisgurnus dabryanus is the source of this 1611-nucleotide non-coding RNA. The record is from RefSeq and is a predicted model, not a curated record. Lineage: Eukaryota; Metazoa; Chordata; Actinopteri; Cypriniformes; Cobitidae.